Lingula anatina is the source of this 537-nucleotide long non-coding RNA. NCBI's taxonomy places the organism in Eukaryota, Metazoa, Brachiopoda, Lingulata, Lingulida, Lingulidae. The record is from RefSeq and is a predicted model, not a curated record.
CAUUUUCCAACCACGUCAGUAUUCAGCGGAGAGAGUAUGGUGGACUAAAAUUAUAUACUUUCCCUCAGCUCGAGGAAGACAGUUCCAGGGACACUCAGGAAGUUGACUCUAGAUGGCAGCAUUGAUGUUUGUGACAAUAUGAUAGAUGCAAAUGUGUUGAAUCCAUCAUUUGCUCUUCAAAAAGAGUUGGAAAUGCAGCACUCCUGCCCUGACUGGCUCCACUCCAUCGACGUUCCUGCACCGGCGACCCUUGGAUUGGUUCCAUGACUUCCCUUCGGUGAGGAAGGACUGGGCUCGCCCCGUGGUUGCCGUCGUGGUCCUGAGGAGGCAUUAUCACGGGCACCAUGCUAAAACUGUUUCUCGGCGUAUAGGACCUGAGGACAGGCGUCGGGGAUACCAAAUAAUGCUGCAAGGAAAGGGGGAAAGUACUGUCAUUAAAAAAUCGAUUUAACUGUUGCGGAUUCAUCAUGGACGGACGCCUCUUGUCAGCUUCCACACCCCCAUACGGACUUCUGGCUGGUCUGAAAGAAAUAUAAG